This is a non-coding RNA of Parelaphostrongylus tenuis, 71 nucleotides long. The record is from the annotation of a GenBank genome assembly. Lineage: Eukaryota; Metazoa; Nematoda; Chromadorea; Rhabditida; Metastrongylidae.
GCGUCGGUGGUGUAAUGGUAGCACGCGCCCCUGCUAUGGGCAAAACGCGGGUUUCAACUCCGCCUGACGUC